CUGAUAACAAACGCAUUCUCCUCCUGCAGCCCAGCCUAGUCGAACUGGUCGAUCAUGUGCUAAACUUGCCAAAGUUUUACAUCUGGAAUACAAACUCAGGAGGUUGAAAUUCUUCAGCGCCUUAAAGGAUGUUUCCUCUCUCGCGGAAAGCCAAGCUCGGACUUAUUGGCGGGAUUUUAGUGGGAACAACGCUAGGAGGACAAUCUUGGGCGAUGGUGUUUGGUUUAGUCGGGGUGGCAGGUGGUCCAGUUGGUGUCGCACUUUGUAUGAUCUUUAAGUUCUUCUGGGACCUGUUCGAAUUAGGAGGAUAGGACCAGGAUCCGCUACAUAAUCCUAACAUAGCAAUAAAUAAUUUAUUCAUGUUGAUUCUGAUUGAUUAAAACUUUUCAGGACGCUUAAUUUACAACUAGUAUUAUCCUACCUUGAGCUUCUCAAGUGUAAUUAAAAACUGAUCAAGUACUGUGAAGGUGUCUUUUUUAUUAGAAGAAAAUCAUGCAAAAAUGUCGGACCCUAACAUAUUUAUGCAAGUACAAAUAUUUAAAUAUUAUAGCAUUGACCUUACAUGGAAAUAAUAUAACAUGCGAAUGGUAAAUAA
Folsomia candida is the source of this 595-nucleotide long non-coding RNA. RefSeq lists it as uncharacterized. The transcript is spliced from 2 exons. NCBI's taxonomy places the organism in Eukaryota, Metazoa, Arthropoda, Collembola, Entomobryomorpha, Isotomidae. The record is from RefSeq and is a predicted model, not a curated record.